RNAcentral lists this ribosomal RNA (227 nucleotides) under uncultured bacterium. Its description in RNAcentral is "partial 16S ribosomal RNA". It matches the Rfam family "Bacterial small subunit ribosomal RNA", at positions 29 to 283 of the family's 1533-position model. The record is from RNAcentral.
AACGAACGCUGGCGGCAUGCCUAACACAUGCAAGUCGAACGAGACCUUCGGGUCUAGUGGCGCACGGGUGCGUAACGCGUGGGAAUCUGCCCUUGGGUCCGGAAUAACUCAGAGAAAUUUGAGCUAAUACCGGAUGAUGACGUAAGUCCAAAGAUUUAUCGCCCAAGGAUGAGCCCGCGUAGGAUUAGCUAGUUGGUGAGGUAAAGGCUCACCAAGGCGACGACCUU